UUCCGGUUGAUCCUGCCGGAGGCUACUGCUAUCGGGGUUCGAUUAAGCCAUGCAAGUUAAAUGUUCUUCGUGAACAUAGCGAACUGCUCAGUAACACGUGGAUAACCUACCCUUAGGACCGGAAUAACCCCGGGAAACUGGGGAUAAUACCGGAUAAGCCAUAGGCGCUGGAAUGCCCUAUGGUUCAAAGCUCCGGCGCCUAAGGAUGGAUCUGCGGUCUAUCAGGUUGUAGUGGGUGUAACGUACCUACUAGCCGACGACGGAUACGGGUUGUGAGAGCAAGAGCCCGGAGAUGGAUUCUGAGACACGAAUCCAGGCCCUACGGGGUGCAGCAGGCGCGAACACUUUACAAUGCGGGAAACCGCGAUAAGGGAACCCCGAGUGCCAGCAUCAAAUGUUGGCUGUCCGGAUGAUUAAAAAUCAUUUGUUAGCAAGGGCCGGGCAAGACCGGUGCCAGCCGCCGCGGUAACACCGGCGGCCCGAGUGGUAGCCGUUUUUAUUGGGUCUAAAGGGUCCGUAGCCGGCCUGAUCAGUCCUUUGGGAAAUCUGGCAGCUUAACUGUCAGGCUUCUAAGGGAUACUGUCAGGCUUGGGACCGGAAGAGGUAAGGGGUACUCCAGGGGUAGGAGUGAAAUCUUGUAAUCCCUGGGGGACCAUCUGUGGCGAAGGCGCCUUACCAGAACGGGUCCGACGGUGAGGGACGAAAGCUAGGGGAGCAAACCGGAUUAGAUACCCGGGUAGUCCUAGCUGUAAACGAUGCUCGCUAGGUGUCAGACACGGUGCGACCGUGUUUGGUGCCGCAGGGAAGCCGUUAAGCGAGCCACCUGGGAAGUACGGUCGCAAGGCUGAAACUUAAAGGAAUUGGCGGGGGAGCACUACAACGGGUGGAGCCUGCGGUUUAAUUGGAGUCAACGCCGGA
Molecule: ribosomal RNA, 918 nt
Filed under: archaeon enrichment culture clone AOM-SR-A6
Lineage: Archaea
Description: bacterial SSU rRNA
Rfam family: Archaeal small subunit ribosomal RNA
Source: RNAcentral